UGUCCUCUGUGUUCUCAUUGCGACUGCU
RNAcentral lists this non-coding RNA (28 nucleotides) under Rattus norvegicus (Norway rat). Lineage: Eukaryota; Metazoa; Chordata; Mammalia; Rodentia; Muridae. The record is from RNAcentral.